RNA transcript from Octodon degus (degu), 888 nucleotides. It is a transcript of the gene named eukaryotic translation initiation factor 4H pseudogene, with no coding region annotated. The record is from RefSeq and is a predicted model, not a curated record. The transcript is spliced from 2 exons. NCBI's taxonomy places the organism in Eukaryota, Metazoa, Chordata, Mammalia, Rodentia, Octodontidae.
AUGGCUCUGCUUAAGGAAACCUGUGGUAGCAGUUACAUGUUCCAGAGCUGUAGGGAUUCCUCCUCUCCUCCGGGCAGUGAACAUAGCUGGUUCCUCUCGGAGCGGAGACGGCAAACGGCAGACUUCGAUGCCUGUGACGACUGGGCCUACAGCAGCUUCGGCGGUGGCAGAGGGUCCCGCGGCAGUGCUGGUGGCCGUGGUUCCCGUAGCCAGAAGGAGCUGCCCACAGAACCCCCUACGCAGCCUAUGUAGGAAACCUCCCUUUUAAAACAGUUCAGGGUGACACAGACACUAUCCUUAAGGAUCUCAGCAUAAGGAGCGUACAGCUAGUCAGAGGCAAAGACGCAGACAAGUUUAGAGGAUUCUGCUAUGGAGAAUUCCAUGAGGUUGACUCCCUGAAGAAAGCCCUGACCUACGACGGUGCACCGUUCGGUGACCAGUCACUUCGUGUGGACACUGCAGAAGACAGAAAACAAGAUAAAGGUGGCUUUGGAUUCAGGAAAGGAGGAGCAGAUGACAGGGGAAUGGGUGGCUCUCGAGAAUCUAGAGGAGGCUGGGAUUCCCGGGAUGACUUCAGUUCUGGUUACAGGGAUGACUUCCGAGGAGGCCGAGGAUGCAGUCGCCCAGGGGACCAUCGAGCAGGCCCUGCCGUGGGGAGUUGCUUCCGAGAUGGCCCCCCGCUGUGCGGCACCAACAUGGACUUCGGAGAACCCACAGACGACGAUGAAAGAGCCCAGAGACUUCGGCUCCAGCUCACACCUCGGACAGUGGCUACACCCCUCAACCAAGCAGCCAACCCCAGCUCCACCAUCUUUCGGGGGAGCCAGGCUCAGAGAGGAAGUUGUGAACAAGGAGCAGGAACGGGCACGCAGGGGGAAUGGGGUGUAG